This 198-nucleotide ribosomal RNA is filed under the name uncultured bacterium. RNAcentral's name for it is "partial 16S ribosomal RNA". It matches the Rfam family "Bacterial small subunit ribosomal RNA", at positions 328 to 539 of the family's 1533-position model. The record is from RNAcentral.
ACGCUCGACACCUACGGGGGGCAGCAGUGGGGAAUAUUGCACAAUGGGGGAAACCCUGAUGCAGCGACGCCGCGUGGAAGAAGAAGGUCUUCGGAUUGUAAACUCCUGUUGUUGGGGAAAAAGAGGAUGGUACCCAACAAGGAAGUGACGGCUAACUACGUGCCAGUAGCCGCGGUAAUCUGAGCGGGCUGGCAAGGC